UUGACCUCAAAUCAGGUAGGACUACCCGCUGAACUUAAGCAUAUCAAUAAGCGGAGGAAAAGAAACCAACAGGGAUUGCCUCAGUAGCGGCGAGUGAAGCGGCAAAAGCUCAAAUUUGAAAUCUGGCGUCUUUGGCGUCCGAGUUGUAAUUUGAAGAAGGUAUCUUUGGGCCCGGCUCUUGUCUAUGUUCCUUGGAACAGGACGUCACAGAGGGUGAGAAUCCCGUGCGAUGAGAUGGCCCGGGUCUAUGUAAAGUUCCUUCGACGAGUC
This 270-nucleotide ribosomal RNA is filed under the name Candida dubliniensis. RNAcentral's name for it is "partial 28S ribosomal RNA". It matches the Rfam family "Eukaryotic large subunit ribosomal RNA", at positions 1 to 266 of the family's 3401-position model. The record is from RNAcentral. Lineage: Eukaryota; Fungi; Ascomycota; Pichiomycetes; Serinales; Debaryomycetaceae.